CCUACGGGAGGCAGCAGUGAGGAAUAUUGGUCAAUGGACGAGAGUCUGAACCAGCCAAGUAGCGUGAAGGAUGACUGCCCUAUGGGUUGUAAACUUCUUUUAUAUGGGAAUAAAAUGUUCCACGUGUGGGAUUUUGUAUGUACCAUAUGAAUAAGGAUCGGCUAACUCCGUGCCAGCAGCCGCGGUAAUACGGAGGAUCCGAGCGUUAUCCGGAUUUAUUGGGUUUAAAGGGAGCGUAGGUGGAUUGUUAAGUCAGUUGUGAAAGUUUGCGGCUCAACCGUAAAAUUGCAGUUGAAACUGGCAGUCUUGAGUACAGUAGAGGUGGGCGGAAUGCGUGGUGUAGCGGUGAAAUGCUUAGAUAUCACGAAGAACUCCAAUUGCGAAGGCAGUUCACUGGACUGCAACUGACACUGAGGCUCGAAAGUGUGGGUAUCAAACAGGAUUAGAUACCCGGGUAGUC
Molecule: ribosomal RNA, 460 nt
Filed under: uncultured bacterium
Lineage: Bacteria
Description: partial 16S ribosomal RNA
Rfam family: Bacterial small subunit ribosomal RNA
Source: RNAcentral